GUCGGUAUCGAUUAGGGGUUAAAUCACUUCGUUGUGGUCGUUCUGUUUCAGGACAACAAUCGCGAAGAGCCGCUGGUUGGAUUCCAGCUACCGACA
Panaeolus papilionaceus is the source of this 96-nucleotide non-coding RNA. The record is from the annotation of a GenBank genome assembly. NCBI's taxonomy places the organism in Eukaryota, Fungi, Basidiomycota, Agaricomycetes, Agaricales.